RNAcentral lists this ribosomal RNA (490 nucleotides) under uncultured bacterium. Its description in RNAcentral is "partial 16S ribosomal RNA". It matches the Rfam family "Bacterial small subunit ribosomal RNA", at positions 29 to 507 of the family's 1533-position model. The record is from RNAcentral.
AGUGAACGCUGGCGGUAGGCCUAACACAUGCAAGUCGAACGGCAGCACAGGAGAGCUUGCUCUCUGGGUGGCGAGUGGCGGACGGGUGAGGAAUACAUCGGAAUCUGCCCAGUCGUGGGGGAUAACGUAGGGAAACUUACGCUAAUACCGCAUACGACCUUCGGGUGAAAGAGGGGGAUCGCAAGACCUCUCGCGAUUGGAUGAGCCGAUGUCGGAUUAGCUAGUUGGCGGGGUAAUGGCCCACCAAGGCGACGAUCCGUAGCUGGUCUGAGAGGAUGAUCAGCCACACUGGAUCUGAGACACGGUCCAGACUCCUACGGGAGGCAGCAGUGGGGAAUAUUGGACAAUGGGCGCAAGCCUGAUCCAGCCAUACCGCGUGGGUGAAGAAGGCCUUCGGGUUGUAAAGCCCUUUUGUUGGGAAAGAAAUCUUUCAGGCUAAUACCCUGGGAGGAUGACGGUACCCAAAGAAUAAGCACCGGCUAACUUCGUG